AUGCUCGCUUCAGCAACACAUAUACUAAAAUUGGAACAAUACAGAGAAGAUUAGCAUGGCCCUGCGCAAGAAUGACACGCAAAUUUGUGAAGGGUUCCAUGUUUUA
This 106-nucleotide small nuclear RNA is filed under the name Salvator merianae (Argentine black and white tegu). Lineage: Eukaryota; Metazoa; Chordata; Lepidosauria; Squamata; Teiidae. The record is from RNAcentral.